UAGGGAAUCUUCCACAAUGGACGCAAGUCUGAUGGAGCAACGGCCGCGUGAGUGAAGAAGGUUUUCGGACCGUAAAGCUCUGUUGUUGGUGAAGAAGGAUAGAGGUAGUAACUGGCCUUUAUUUGACGGUAAUCAACCAGAAAGUCACGGCUAACUACGUGCCAGCAGCCGCGGUAAUACGUAGGUGGCAAGCGUUGUCCGGAUUUAUUGGGCGUAAAGCGAGCGCAGGCGGAAGAAUAAGUCUGAUGUGAAAGCCCUCGGCUUAACCGAGGAAUUGCAUCGGAAACUGUUUUUCUUGAGUGCAGAAGAGGAGAGUAGAACUCCAUGUGUAGCGGUGGAAUGCGUAGAUAUAUGGAAGAAUACCAGUGGCGAAGGCGGCUCUCUGGUCUGCAACUGACGCUGAGGCUCGAAAGCAUGGGUAGCGAACAGGAUUAGAUACCCUGGUAGUCCAUGCCGUAAACGAUGAGUGCUAAGUGUUGGGAGGCUUCCGCCUCUCAGUGCUGCAGCUAACGCAUUAAGCACUCCGCCUGGGGGAGUACGACCGCAAGGUUGAA
This 554-nucleotide ribosomal RNA is filed under the name uncultured bacterium. RNAcentral describes it as "partial 16S ribosomal RNA". It matches the Rfam family "Bacterial small subunit ribosomal RNA", at positions 355 to 898 of the family's 1533-position model. The record is from RNAcentral.